Molecule: ribosomal RNA, 393 nt
Filed under: bacterium enrichment culture
Lineage: Bacteria
Description: bacterial SSU rRNA
Rfam family: Bacterial small subunit ribosomal RNA
Source: RNAcentral
UAAUACGUAGGGUGCGAGCGUUAAUCGGAAUUACUGGGCGUAAAGCGUGCGCAGGCGGUUGUGUAAGACAGGCGUGAAAUCCCCGGGCUCAACCUGGGAACUGCGUUUGUGACUGCACAGCUAGAGUAUGGCAGAGGGGGGUGGAAUUCCACGUGUAGCAGUGAAAUGCGUAGAGAUGUGGAGGAACACCGAUGGCGAAGGCAGCCCCCUGGGCCAAUACUGACGCUCAUGCACGAAAGCGUGGGUAGCAAACAGGAUUAGAUACCCUGGUAGUCCACGCCCUAAACGAUGCUAACUCGAUGUUUGGAUUUAGGUUUGAGCAUCCAAGGGAAACCGAUAAGUUAGCCACCUGGGGAGUACGACCGCAAGGUUGAAACUCAAAUGAAUUGACGG